UUCAAGAACUACCUGGAUGCAAUCCUGUGCACGUUGUUCCAGGGGACACUGCUUGAGCAGGUGCUAUGACUACUCUCAGUUACCAACUCCAGUGCCCCCAUGAGCUGGAAUCAGACACAGAGUUUGCAAAGACUCAGCACCUGGGGAAAGGUGCUGCCCUCCCUUAGGGAGAUCUUUUGAAGAACCAGGUGCUACACUAUUACCAGGAAUCAGGUCAUGGCAAGUGUUUACUUUUCACAGUGUUUGAAGGCAAAUCUGUGUUACCAUGUGCUGUUGCCUUGUAAGAGUUGGAAAAGGAAGGAAUGCCUUGUACCAGUCUGUGUGCACAGUAAAGGAAAAUUUUCAAGAAGUUGAAUGAUCACCUGG
Lonchura striata (white-rumped munia) is the source of this 366-nucleotide non-coding RNA. The record is from RefSeq and is a predicted model, not a curated record. Lineage: Eukaryota; Metazoa; Chordata; Aves; Passeriformes; Estrildidae.